AGGUGUUGUUAGUUGGGCCAGUGGCAAUUUUUAUUCAUUCGGCCCUCUCCCACAACUCCUAGAACC
Trypanosoma brucei brucei is the source of this 66-nucleotide small nucleolar RNA. It matches the Rfam family "Trypanosomatid snoRNA TB10Cs2H1". NCBI's taxonomy places the organism in Eukaryota, Euglenozoa, Kinetoplastea, Trypanosomatida, Trypanosomatidae. The record is from Rfam.